RNAcentral lists this microRNA precursor (84 nucleotides) under Bombyx mori (domestic silkworm). Its description in RNAcentral is "mir-2807 microRNA precursor family". It matches the Rfam family "mir-2807 microRNA precursor family". The record is from Rfam by way of RNAcentral. Lineage: Eukaryota; Metazoa; Arthropoda; Insecta; Lepidoptera; Bombycidae.
UUAACGAAAAUUUGUAUGGAGUUGGACCGUUUGCGUACGUUUGCCGCUAGGGGCGCUGUUCCAACUGCCUAUAAAUUUCAAUUA